GAAUCUCUUUGACUUCUCGAAUCAAUAUGUAAUAGAACGCUUUGUGAAAUGAGAGAAAGAGAAAGAGAAUGUCUUAAUGAUCGCUAGGAAAAUCUACAGGGAAAUGAGUUUGUAGAUGGACGAAUCAUAAUGACAAAGGAUGGGAUAACUGGAUCCACUGAAAAUUGUUUGUGGUUGACGCAUCGAACAAAUCAACAAAUCAUUAAUCUACAUAGUAUUUUUCGUUCAUCAUCUCCAUAUAAUACUCUUCUCCUUUUCCUCUUUGUAUAUAUGUACACAUGAGCCGCGAAACCACGAACCAUCGAUGGCGAAUACAGAAAGAGAGAAAGAGAAAGAGAGACAGAGGCAUACACAUACACAGAAUAGAAGAGAAAGCCAUGAAAGUACGCCGAGAU
Molecule: long non-coding RNA, 395 nt
Organism: Vespula vulgaris
Lineage: Eukaryota; Metazoa; Arthropoda; Insecta; Hymenoptera; Vespidae
Exons: 2
Source: RefSeq, a predicted model, not a curated record